GCUCUUCCAUACUCGUUGGUGACAGCGCAAGAGGUGUGAUUUGCGCAUUAGGUGAGCUCAGGUUUAAAAUGCCAGUUGAUUGAGGUGUGGACUUGCGGAUGGUAUAAGAACGUUUAAGAGACAGUUGGUUAGCUUUAUGUUAACUUGAAACAUGGCAGAGUCGUUAGAAAGAGAAACCUCAACUGAGAAAAACGCUGCUUCCAAAUUGGCCUGUGGGAAUAUUUUGAUUACUGAUCAAUGCGGGAGGGCCCAUCUGAAUGUGUGCUGCUGCCACCCCUGGGCCGGUGGUCUUUCGGUAUGUGAAAAAGGCUGAGUGAACUAGCCAGAAAGCAACAUUCCUUCAGAGCUUCUUCAGUUCCUGCCUCAAGUUCCUUUGAUGAUGGGCUGUGAUGUGGAAGUCUGAAUCUAUGGACUUUUUCAUCUUCCUGUGAUAGCUGAUAGCAACCCAAAGAAGAUAGGUCAUCGAAACCGAAAUUACCUUCUAAUCUUCCUCCAGAAUUGUAAAAGGAGAAAAAUUUUGAUGUUCUUAAAGAUGGAUCCAUUAGCCUUAAUUUACUCUCAAGGACCCACUCUGGUACUAUUUGUUGUAGCUGUUAUUUAGUUGCUAGGACUUGAAAUCAAGACCUAGAACAUACAGGCACAUCUGUUGGAACAUACUUCUUCAGGACUCCAGCUUAUACAGAAGGCAAGCUGAAUCUCCUAGCCUCACAGGACUGAGCAACUACUAGACUCUUGGACUUCCCAUUCACAGCUGCCUAUUGGGUUGGUUGAACUGGAGACUUAAGUCAUUACAAUAAAUUCCCUUAAUAUAUACAUUCCCUAAGUCCUGUGACUUUAGAGAAUCCUGACUAAUUCAUGAAAAAGGAUUUGAUACUACAAAUGACCUGUUUCUUACCAUACUUUUGCCUUAAUUUUUUCUUUUUAAAAAUUUGGGACAUGAUAUCAUUUGCAGCCAUGACUGACACUGAACUCAUGUUCCUCCUGUCUUGGACUUCCUGAGUGCUGGGAUCACAGGCAAGCAUCACCACCUUUAACUACCUGGGUCUAUUACUAUUAGAACCUGUUUAUAAUAAUUGCCUAUGACGUUUGCUAGUUUGUAAUAUUCUAUUUCCUCAAUCUUGCAUUAUUCAUUCCAAUUUUACUACAAUGAAGACCUUUUCCUACUUACUUUUUUUGAAAAGAUUUGAUUAUAUAAGUAUGAAGGUACAUUUGUUUUAUUUCAUGGGUUAUAAUUAAUUAUGACCAACAUCAUUUUUCUAAGAUUAUCCAAAGCUAGGACAGCUUUCUAAUUUUCUGACAGAAAACUAACUUUUGUUAUUCAUAGAAUAUUUGCUUCUUUGCUAUAGACGGAUGAAGUAAUUUCAUAAUCGCUAACAAAUAUUUCAGAAAAGUAAAUGUUCAGAUUUUUUUUUUUUUCUGGUAAGCUACCUCAAAAGUUUUUUGCGCCGAAAACAAAAAGAAAGGGUUCAAAGGAAGGAAGGGAAGGAAGACCUUGCAUGCUUCUGUAUAUAGAAUAUAAAUUUCACUAGGCUUAGGUAAAAUAUGUACAUUGAUAUGAUAAACAUUAUUAUAUACAUAUUUUACAUCAUAUAGAUAACAACCUCACAGUAUAUACUUCUAUCAUAAGAAUAAAUAUAAUACCCUUUUCUUUAUAUAUUUUGGUCAGAAUAGGUCUCAAGCCAGCAGUAUUGUUCACCCAUUCAAUAAUCCCACAUUCAUCAUUCAGUGGAAUAACUGCAUAUGUUCGGAUAUGAAGUUCUCUUCGACGUGAUUCUGCAUCUUUUCUUAAGCUCUAUGGAAAACAAAGACAGAAAUAAAAAUAAAAUAGGAUUCAGAUUCCUAUUAUGUCAAAUAUAUCUAAAUAUUGUUCAUUUCCUAGUAAAAGUGCUGAUGGCAGCCUGUAAUGCAUAGUUCUGAAAGUUAGAAGAAGAAGCUAUGGGAUCAUCGCUAUCCUACUUCUAAACCUUAAGAUGCCUUGGAGUAGCUUCUCUUUAGUUCUCUACUAUGCAUGUAACAGAAUACUACAUUUGAAAAAGCAGUAUUUAUAGCCAUAUCAACAACAAAACACUAUUGUUUUCUUUUCUACAGCAUUAGAGAUAAUGAUUAAUAAUAAGUACUUAAGCACAGAGACUAUAAUGUUUAAUUUUAUCUAAGAAUUGUUAUUUUACUUUCCUCAUCAUAAGGAAUCAUACUAUCUAUCCCCCCACCCCCAAAUCCCCAAUCCUGUGCUGUAUGUAAGUCUGUGUAUAAAUAGACAUAAUUAAUCUUUUAUUCUGAGACUGGGUCUUGCUUGCCAAACUUUCUAAUAAAAAAUGAGUUCUAUUAGUCUAUAA
This 2333-nucleotide long non-coding RNA is filed under the name Mus musculus (house mouse). RNAcentral describes it as "predicted gene, 16794 (Gm16794)". Lineage: Eukaryota; Metazoa; Chordata; Mammalia; Rodentia; Muridae. The record is from RNAcentral.